GGGCAGACUAAAAAAUUGGACAAAGAAAUAGAGGGGAAAAAGAUUCUUUCUUUUUGCUAGAUGACAUAUAGCUUAGGCAUACAUGGUGAAUUUGCUAACAAGCCAAAAUGUAACCCAGCUUUGUAAAUAUAGGCCAACUUGAAAGCUACAACAAACUAGGCAAUUCAUUAGGAAAUUUAGACUGGUCAAUCAUCCUCAUCUGAACUACUGUCUUCAAACGUCCUCCCAUUGUCCUCUGCCGUUGUCAUCGUCAUAUUAUCUGGCAUCUUAUCCCAGUCUUUUAACUUGGAAUUGGUCAGCAUAUAAUUAUCACGUAAUGGAGCCCAAGCAGGACCUUCAGCAUCCGCUGCACCACCUGAUGUGUUUAACUUUGCAUUACUGUUUGUUGCUGGCAAAGUUGUCUUGCCCAACUCAGAAAAGAAAGCUUCUUUUCUACGCUUAUUUAUAGCUUUAGCAUCUUUAGUUCUCGAAGGAUUCAAAC
RNAcentral lists this unclassified non-coding RNA (481 nucleotides) under Hevea brasiliensis (rubber tree). The record is from RNAcentral. Lineage: Eukaryota; Viridiplantae; Streptophyta; Magnoliopsida; Malpighiales; Euphorbiaceae.